CGAGUGGCCUUAGACCAUCUGGAGUCUGUUCCCGAGAAACUCAGCCUUUUAGAAGAUUUCAAAGAUUUUGGAGAAAUGUAUCGCCAGAGAGAGAUGAUUGAAGAGAGAUACACUAGAUAUAAAGAAAUAGUGGGAUCCCUACAGCAGCAGCUGGAAGAUUCAAAAAAAAAGAUCCAGUGUUUCAAGGAGGAGGAAACACAUGAUGAUGUUUCUGACAUCCAAGCAGCAGCCCUAUUGUCCACCUGGCGACCUAAAACCAGCUUUAUGUCCAGCUCACCACUUUCAG
Gavialis gangeticus (Gharial) is the source of this 286-nucleotide long non-coding RNA. RefSeq lists it as uncharacterized. The transcript is spliced from 3 exons. The record is from RefSeq and is a predicted model, not a curated record. NCBI's taxonomy places the organism in Eukaryota, Metazoa, Chordata, Crocodylia, Gavialidae.